CGGCAGCUCAGAGAUGGACGACAGUUUGGUAUUGGAGGUGACCUCUGAUACUUCAGAAGAGGCUGUGGUGGGCUUGUUUUUCUCCAGAGCGGCGUGCAUACUGACCACAGAUAGAAAAAACCACCAGUCAUGUGAAAGGCCGAGCCCACCCAGCCAAGGAACAACGGAGUGCCAAGGCCAUACCUGAAAAUGGUUACAUAAAUAUUGUGCAAGAUUAAUACACAAAGAUUUUUACCUGUAUUAAAAAGAUAACAGAUUUACAAUGAAAAGAAAGUAAUGGUUUCAAAGGUAAGGUGGGAAAUAUGCAUGUUUGUUUGAUUAGGCCUGUUAACUUACUCGAGUCCAGUCAGGCUAGAAUCGAAGUUUUUGAUUAUGACGUAAUCUGAAUACACGGCAUACCCACAUGUGGACAAUGCACCUGAGAGAAAAUCAUGUUGGAAAAUAUUAAUGGAGUAUCCAGUCGAUAAACUUUGUCACAUUUCUUAUAAUCAUUAGGUUUAGUGGAUAUUGUAAAGUUUCUCAUUUUGGCACUCAUGUACUCCAACGGAGGAUUGAAAGCUCCAGAAUGUUCACUGGAUAUCCUGUCAACUCAAUUUGGACAUCUUGUACAAUACUACUGCUGGAUUAUCUAAUAGCUUCAUUAAAUCCUUUUAUUUAU
Xiphophorus maculatus (southern platyfish) is the source of this 658-nucleotide long non-coding RNA. RefSeq lists it as uncharacterized. The record is from RefSeq and is a predicted model, not a curated record. The transcript has 2 exons. NCBI's taxonomy places the organism in Eukaryota, Metazoa, Chordata, Actinopteri, Cyprinodontiformes, Poeciliidae.